UAAACAGGUUCAAGAUGAGCAGCAAGACUCCCUAAGUCUCCCAUGUUUCAAAGGAAGACAGAAGCAAUACCCAGACCUUGAACUAUCCAUAUCCUUAAAAUGUGGAAUCAACAGAAUUGUUUCUGAAGGCUCUGCCUCUGGACAUCAGAAGAGUCAGAUGACAUGUCACCGGAAAAAGGUGGCAAAGGGCAUCGUGGUACUGGGGUGGCUGUAAGAGCUGGCUCCUCUGCUCUCCCACAGCUGGGCUGAGGUACCUCCACUCUGACUCAAGGCACCCUGGUGCAGUCCCUGUCCAUUUUGUCCCUCACUGCUUACAGGAAGUUCAUCAUGGCUGUUCAGGAAAAGCAUUCUCAGGGGCAGCAAAGAGCUCUAGGUUAAAAUUCAGUUGCUGGAACAGGAAGAGGUGAAAUU
This 411-nucleotide long non-coding RNA is filed under the name Manacus vitellinus (golden-collared manakin). Its description in RNAcentral is "lncRNA (ENSMVIG00005012212.1)". The record is from RNAcentral. Lineage: Eukaryota; Metazoa; Chordata; Aves; Passeriformes; Pipridae.